GACGAACGCUGGCGGCGUGCUUAACACAUGCAAGUCGAACGGAAAGGCCUGCUUUCCCUUGUGGAUUGCGGGUACUCGAGUGGCGAACGGGUGAGUAACACGUGAGUGAUCUGCCCCCAACUUGGGUAUAAGCCUGGGAAACUGGGUCUAAUUCCCGAUAGGACUGCAGGGUGGUGCCUGUGGUGGAAAACGAUUUUCUAGUGGUUGGGGAUGAGCUCGCGGCCUAUCAGCUUGUUGGUGGGGUAAUGGCCUACCAAGGCGGCGACGGGUAGCCGGCCUGGGAGGGUGGACGGCCACAUUGGGACUGAGAUACGGCCCAGACUCCUACGGGAGGCAGCAGUGGGGAAUAAUGCACGAUGGGCGGAAGCCUGAUGCAGCGACGCCGCGUGGGGGAUGACGGCCUUCGGGUUGUAAACUCCUUUCGACCGCGAGGAAGCCACCUGGUUGGAAGGGUGGUGACGGUAGUGGUAGAAGAAGCACCGGCUAACUACGUG
RNAcentral lists this ribosomal RNA (494 nucleotides) under uncultured bacterium. Its description in RNAcentral is "partial 16S ribosomal RNA". It matches the Rfam family "Bacterial small subunit ribosomal RNA", at positions 28 to 507 of the family's 1533-position model. The record is from RNAcentral.